CUCGAUAAGGGAUAUGCUUGAGUGGUCACGAAUAAAGGGAGCCACUAUGUGAACGGGGAAAUAGCGAUGUUACUAAUCUCUCUGUAUAUAUGUCUCUGGAUAUACAUCAAAGGAUUUUCAUAAAAUGUGCAUUGUUUUGUCGAUUUUUAUUGCUGAAUUUUAUUUCUGGUUGCUUUAAUAUGAAAUGAAUAUAUGUAUAUAUUUGAAAUUGAUUGCUUGUCUUAUCAAUAUCUUAUGUAUGGGUAAGUUUUUGAAUUCUUAUAAAUACAUGUAUUUAAUAAAUGUCAGAUACAUGCUCAAUAACCAAAGGUUUAGAAGUGUCCUUUGAGUGUAUUUUUACUCCAAUUAAAAUUGAAUUGUAUUAUUUUGAUAGUAAGCAAUGCAUAUCAUAUUGGACCUAAUAAGCACACCUGUUAAAACUAGUCCACUUUUUGGAUUAUGGGCACGUUUAAAUAAAGUCAUUACAAAUAAUGCUGACCUCACUGAUACAAUAUACAGCCAGUUGAAUGUUUGUCUAACUGCUCUUUGCCUCUAUACAGCCAAUGAUUGAUGCCAGUAAAUUUUGCUAUAUUCAUUUCUAAGAAUGGUUCCCUAGCUUGUCCCUAGUGAAACCUGUUUUAAUGUCUUUUGUCCAAUUAAGAGUUUCUGAAUGCACUUUGUACAGUGACAUGGUCUGCAUUAAAUUGUCUUCUAAUCAGAAAAUUCAUAAGGGAAAACAGCAUAAAUCAUAUGUUAUGUGACUGCCAGACCUUCUUGUCUGUAUAUUCUGCUUCUUGAUACACAUCUGCUGUAUGUUGCAGCAUGCUUUCGUCUGAAAAGUCACACAAGGGAAAUUAUGUGAUUUCUGCUACAUUUUUCCUAAACAACCUCUUUUUCGGUAUGAGAGAGUGGGCCCAAUCACCUGAUGAUUUGUUCUUUAGUGUAUAUUCUUAAGUCUAACAGUGUACUGCAUUCUGGUAACAUAGGUAAAUAGUCUUUUAGUCUUCUCUAGACCUGACAGAUUGUGAUACCUUUUGUUGAUUAGAGAUGCAUUGUUUACAUAGAACCCAAUCAAGGUGAAACUUUCAAAACCCUGCCUAACUGUUGUCCGGGAAUACAUAUAAAGGAGUGAUUACAACUGGAUACAGCUAUUACAGUUUACCAACACCAGUGCACAAUUCAUAUUUACAAUCGGCCUUAUUAAAGAUUCGCCAAUCAAACAUUUGGUGAUGGGUAAAUAAAAUUCACCAACUUAUGGUUAAUAUCUUUUGACUAGUCCCUGAAACCAUCGGGUUCUUUCGCUGCAAGUGAUUGUGCUCUGAAGAUUACCUAUUGAAGUUUAAAUAUGUCUUCAGUAUACAUUUAUUACUGAGUACAAGUCUAUGUGCCCAUGUUUCCCACUGUACAUGGCAUCUUUGAUAGCUUGCUUCAAGAGGUUGCACAUAGAAACGGUUCGCUGUAAAUGGCUUUGUUAAGCACACACCGUUGUGUUUUUUUUGUAAGCCCACAUUACUUGUGUGAGAUAUGAAAAUAUACAAAAAACAGUACUUCAGUUGUUUUAGUACUGACCUCAAUAUUAUACACACGUACAUCAGGACACGUUCUAGUACUGACCUCAAUAUCAUACACACGUACAUCAGGACACGUUCUAGUACUGACCUCAAUAUCAUACACAUGUACAUCAGGACACGUUCUAGUAUUGACCUCAAUAUCAUACACACGUACAUCAGGACACGUUCUAGUACUGACCUCAAUAUUAUACACACGUACAUCAGGAUAUGUUUUAGUACUGACCUCAAUAUCACACACACACGUACAUUUGGAUAUGUUCUUGUAUUGAAGUCUUAUCUACAAAUGUUAGUAUUGCGAUCUUGUACUUAAUUGCCGAAAUCAAACUUUUGUUGCUAAUUCUUGUUUUCUCGUUUGAUCUUAAGUGUCACAAAUGACAUCGAUCAAAAUCUCAUUAUGAUGUUUAUAUUUGUCUACAUGUUAAUGAUUGUUAUAAAACAGGAAUGUAUUUUUGUCUGAAAUUAAUUAUACUAUCAUGUUUAUCUCACCUGGUCCGAAGAACAGGUGAGCUUAUGCCGUUGGGCAGCGUCCAUCGUACGUCAUCUUUACACUACUAGUCAUGAACGACUCAGCAGAUUUCCAACCAGGGGAAAUAUUGCACCAAAUUGGUGAAAAGUUUUUAUUCUUGUGGUUUUCCGAUAUUUGCUGUCAUAUCCAGGUGAGCGAUACAAGCCCCCUGGGCCUCUUGUUACUAUAUCAUAUUGUGUACCAUACAAUCUGUUAAAAUCAUAUAUCUCGUUGCAUUUUGCUACAGCUGGGUCUCCCUAGAUGAACAAUGUACAUAUAAACCAAAUUCAAAGAAUAUGCUGAUUAUAACGAGUUUGUGUUCUGAUAUACCUUCAACCCACCUUAGUCAUCUCUUACUUCCGGAUCCCGCUUUCCGGAUAAAUCAAUUGUUUAUUAUAAACUAUCUAACACUGAAAAAACUUACUUCCAGCAAGACUAUUUUAUACUUAAUCAUCUUAAGCACAUAGCCUAUAAUGCAUGUACACCACUUUUCUGAAGGAAAGAAUGGCUAUUUUGUUGUGCAUUCCAUUGGAUUUGAUUUCGUGUCAUGGCAUAAAGUGUGACCACGAGAUUGUUGGAUAUUCUUCCGAUAUACGUGUUUAUACCCCACUCUUACACAGACAAAUAUUCUUCAUGUCAAUUCAGGUCAACUUCAUGAGCUAGUGUUUCACUUUUAGUUGUAAUAUUUAGUACAGAGUAGCCUUGAGAUGAACUCUAACCUCAGUAAACUAAAAGAUACCGAUAAAAUUUACCAUUGGUGGAGGACUAUUUCCUUACAUAUUCUUGCUUUGGCUGAGUUCAUCCUAAUUUCCUCGUGUACGGUGCCGGGCUUCUGCAUCAUAUUAAAAGGUAAUAUACUGCUGGGGAUUUUUCUUUCAUGUUUGAUUUUCCUGAUUAAUCAACAUGUACAUUUGUCAUUUUUUUCUGACGAGAGGUUUCAGUUUCAAAAUAUGUUAUUGUUAAACAACAAAGAUAGUUACAGUAGUAUAGAUGAGAUGUAACAGUACGUGUAUUAUGUAAAGUUACACUUAUCUUCAGGUUUUAUUGUCCUGUUUAAUUGACAGGUACCAUUUAAGUAUGUUGAUGUUUGGUUACAUUUCAAUCAAACAUGCUGUAAGUACAGGUGCUACAGUCAUUUUCCUUCUGUCCCAUUUAAAACUCAUGACAUUAGCAAGACUACUUAUGGUUUCUCUGGAAUCAAAUCACCACCGGUUUUAGUUUUAAAAUAGAUUUCGGUAAUGACAUCAAAGGUAUGCUAAGGUAAAAUAAUUAAUGAUUAUUAAAAUAGAAUAUUCAGUAAUUAACAGUGUUAUACUGUAAGUGAGGAAUGCCAUAACGUUUGUACAAAACUAUCUUUGUCUACGUUAUCAAGUAGUUUCCCUUUUAUAUAAUCGUGUACAACUUGAGGAUAUGUUUUUACAAAUCUUACUUCAAAAACCAAUAUGAGUUAAUACCAAAGAUAAAUACAGUUAGGACAUAAUUUACCUUUUAUAGUCAUACCAAUGAUCACGUGUCUUUUGUUUGACCUGAUGCCUUCCUUGUAUGUAAUAUUCUUUCAAGUUCUUAUUCUGACGCCUUCCUUGGAAGAAUUGAUACUGAAUCAUGCCACUAUUGCAUACUCUGUGUGUUCUUAUAGUAACGUUGAAAACUGAAAUCAAGAAGCGAACCAUUAUAGUAGGAAUCGUAAAAUGUUCACAUAAACGUAUGCUGGAGUCUAUCUCAAGGUUAGGGCUCGUUCGAUUUGUUCAUAGCGGCAACCUUACCAACACUCGCCUGGCGACCAGUCGGACACGUUACGUGGUGACGUGCCUGUCGGUGCUUGGUUGGAUACCCACUACGAAAGCCCUUCUGUAAGAUAUUACUGGAAAAAUGCUUCAGUUUUUAAGGUUUUCCAGCUUCUAAAUUCGUGAAGUAUUAAGGAACUAUGUGCAUUAGGUAAAUAUAUUUUCGAAUCAAAUAAGUUAAGAACAGCGUGAAUAUGUUUUGAUCUGAUAUAUAAUUGUAUAUUGUAUGUAAUAAGGGAUUCAUUCUCUAUUCAUUAGUCUGUAUUGAAUCUCUACUGUAGUUUUUCUCUGUCAUACGUAUGGGCCAAUGACCUAAAGUUUUAAAUAAAACUUAUUUGCAAUAUGACUGCCUGUGGCACUUUUCUAAGAUCUACGAACUAAAUAUUCCUGAAAGUUGUAUUGACAACAGAAGGGUUUUUUCAUAUUUUGAAAAAGCAAGUGUGAGAUUUAUAAUACAAUUUCAGUUUCCGUUCAGUAAUGUGAGGUAUGUUAUAAAAUUUCAGUUUCCGUUCAGUAAUGUGAGGUAUGUUUUAAAAUUUCAGUUUCCGUUCAAAAUAAGAGUGAGGUAUGUAUGUAAUACAAUUUCAGUUCCCGUUCAGUGAUGUGAGGUAUGUAAUACAAUUUCAGUUCCCGUUCAGUGAUGUGAGGUAUGUUUAUAAAAUUUCAGUUUCCGUUCAGCAACAAGAGUGUGAUAACACUCAAUGCAUGUUCAUUUUAUUGGCUCUGAAUCGCAAGCCAAGCAAAAGCAAUAAAGUCAAUUUUACUCUAAA
Molecule: long non-coding RNA, 4609 nt
Organism: Pecten maximus
Lineage: Eukaryota; Metazoa; Mollusca; Bivalvia; Pectinida; Pectinidae
Exons: 2
Source: RefSeq, a predicted model, not a curated record